Molecule: ribosomal RNA, 460 nt
Filed under: uncultured bacterium
Lineage: Bacteria
Description: partial 16S ribosomal RNA
Rfam family: Bacterial small subunit ribosomal RNA
Source: RNAcentral
CCUACGGGAGGCUGCAGUGAGGAAUAUUGGUCAAUGGACGAGAGUCUGAACCAGCCAAGUAGCGUGAAGGAUGACUGCCCUAUGGGUUGUAAACUUCUUUUAUAUGGGAAUAAAAUGUUCCACGUGUGGGUUUUUGUAUGUACCAUAUGAAUAAGGAUCGGCUAACUCCGUGCCAGCAGCCGCGGUAAUACGGAGGAUCCGAGCGUUAUCCGGAUUUAUUGGGUUUAAAGGGAGCGUAGGUGGAUUGUUAAGUCAGUUGUGAAAGUUUGCGGCUCAACCGUAAAAUUGCAGUUGAAACUGGCAGUCUUGAGGACAGUAGAGGUGGGCGGAAUUCGUGGUGUAGCGGUGAAAUGCUUAGAUAUCACGAAGAACUCCGAUUGCGAAGGCAGCUCACUGGACUGCAACUGACACGGAGGCUCGAAAGUGUGGGUAUCAAACAGGAUUAGAUACCCCAGUAGUC